UCUUCAUUCCACGUGCUCUCUCACCGGUAAGACAGGCGAGAGAGCACGCAAAAUGAGGAGA
This 61-nucleotide microRNA precursor is filed under the name Pristionchus pacificus. RNAcentral describes it as "mir-8364 microRNA precursor family". It matches the Rfam family "mir-8364 microRNA precursor family". The record is from Rfam by way of RNAcentral. Lineage: Eukaryota; Metazoa; Nematoda; Chromadorea; Rhabditida; Neodiplogasteridae.